CCUAACACAUGCAAGUCGAGGGGUAACAGAGAAGCUUGCUUCUGCUGACGACCGGCGCACGGGUGCGUAACGCGUAUGCAACCUACCUCAUACUGGAGCAUAGCCCUUGGAAACGAGGAUUAAUACUCCAUGGUAUCAUUUUUUCGCAUGUUAGAAUGAUUAAAGAAUUUCGGUAUGAGAUGGGCAUGCGUCCCAUUAGCUAGUUGGUGAGGUAACGGCUCACCAAGGCGACGAUGGGUAGGGGGCCUGAGAGGGUGGUCCCCCACACUGGUACUGAGACACGGACCAGACUCCUACGGGAGGCAGCAGUGAGGAAUAUUGGUCAAUGGAGGCAACUCUGAACCAGCCAUGCCGCGUGAAGGAUGACGGCCCUAUGGGUUGUAAACUUCUUUUAUAUGGGAAGAAACUUAUCUACGUGUAGAUAACUGACGGUACCAUACGAAUAAGGAUCGGCUAACUCCGUGCCAGCAGCCGCGGUAAUACGGAGGAUCCAAGCGUUAUCCGGAUUCAUUGGGUUUAAAGGGUCCGUAGGCGGAUUUUUAAGUCAGUGGUGAAAGCCGGCAGCUCAACUGUCGAACUGCCAUUGAUACUGGAAAUCUUGAGUACAAAUGAAGUAGGCGGAAUGAGUCAUGUAGCGGUGAAAUGCAUAGAUAUGACUCAGAAC
Molecule: ribosomal RNA, 664 nt
Filed under: uncultured marine bacterium
Lineage: Bacteria
Description: bacterial SSU rRNA
Rfam family: Bacterial small subunit ribosomal RNA
Source: RNAcentral